GCGAUGCAGCAAUAGGCGGAGUUCUGGCUUGAGAUGUGCGGUCCUGAACAUCUUCACCAACCAAGCAAAUGUGGAGUGAUCUUCUGUUUUUAGAAACAUUACAAUGGCAUGAAGCCUAACAAGAACGCAUAAGCCUCUGGUUCAGAGACGUUCGUGGUAGACCCACAGCAUCUUCCUCAAUGCAUCAUGGAUCACCUACGCAGCUCUUCCAAUGGAACCAUCCAAAAAUGCUCUCUCAUGGACUAUGCUGGCUGUUUCAGAAAUGUAUUGAAGUCACUUCCAGGACACUUUUUUCUUGCUCCGUGGUCUCCAAAUGUUAUUGAGUAAACUACCCAUAUUCUAGGGUAGGUAUUAGGAUAAAGCCAAAGUGGUGGAGAUAAAUUAUCCUCCACUA
This is a non-coding RNA of Oryctolagus cuniculus (rabbit), 394 nucleotides long. Lineage: Eukaryota; Metazoa; Chordata; Mammalia; Lagomorpha; Leporidae. The record is from RefSeq and is a predicted model, not a curated record.